CGCACCUUGCGCUCCUUGGUAUUCCGAGGAGCAUGCCUGUUUGAGUGUCUUGAAGUCAUCAACCCAAACCGUUUGACACGGUCUGUGUGUUGGAGCUGGGGGCUUGCUGCCGAGAGAGGUGGCUCCCCUCAAAUGCAUCGGUUGGGCCUGUGGGUCGUACUCGAUUGGGUGUUGUAUUAUCCUCGCUCGAAUGAGAUGUUCCCCUCCUUGUGCCCCUCCACGACCUGCCUUUAUGAGUGGUGGGUCAAGCAAAAACUUUGAAAUUCUGACCUCAAAUCAGGUAGGACUACCCGCUGAACUUAA
This 303-nucleotide unclassified non-coding RNA is filed under the name Trechispora sp. Its description in RNAcentral is "partial contains 5.8S ribosomal RNA, internal transcribed spacer 2, and large subunit ribosomal RNA". Lineage: Eukaryota; Fungi; Basidiomycota; Agaricomycetes; Trechisporales; Hydnodontaceae. The record is from RNAcentral.